Molecule: ribosomal RNA, 582 nt
Filed under: Metschnikowia koreensis
Lineage: Eukaryota; Fungi; Ascomycota; Pichiomycetes; Serinales; Metschnikowiaceae
Description: eukaryotic LSU rRNA
Rfam family: Eukaryotic large subunit ribosomal RNA
Source: RNAcentral
UGGUCUGUAACCUAAAUAUCAAAUGGCUGUAGAAUAAGUUUACACCAACUACUCCUUCCUCAUCUUCGUAAGACUACCCGCUGAACUUAAGCAUAUCAAUAAGCGGAGGAAAAGAAACCAACAGGGAUUGCCUCAGUAACGGCGAGUGAAGCGGCAAAAGCUCAAAUUUGAAAUCCUCCGGGAAUUGUAAUUUGAAGGUGGGGUUGAAUAGGUCUAGAUACUUUAAGUCCAUUGGAAAAUGGCGCCAUGGAGGGUGAUAGCCCCGUAAAAGUAUUCAAACCUUCUUUUCUUCCCCUCCUAAGAGUCGAGUUGUUUGGGAAUGCAGCUCUAAGUGGGUGGUAAAUUCCAUCUAAAGCUAAAUAUUGGCGAGAGACCGAUAGCGAACAAGUACAGUGAUGGAAAGAUGAAAAGCACUUUGAAAAGAGAGUGAAAAAGUACGUGAAAUUGUUGAAAGGGAAGGGCUUGCAAGCAGACACAACCUCGGUUGGGCCAGCAUCGGAGUGGGGGGAGACAAAAAAGGUUAGGAAUGUAGCUCCCUUUAGAGUAUUAUAUCCUAGCCCUAUAUCUCCAUCCCCUUCCGAG